Molecule: small RNA, 30 nt
Filed under: Bombyx mori (domestic silkworm)
Lineage: Eukaryota; Metazoa; Arthropoda; Insecta; Lepidoptera; Bombycidae
Description: ovarian small RNA-11170
Source: RNAcentral
ACAUGCAUUAACAGCAGACCUUCAGGCAAU